Molecule: long non-coding RNA, 148 nt
Organism: Pyrgilauda ruficollis (rufous-necked snowfinch)
Lineage: Eukaryota; Metazoa; Chordata; Aves; Passeriformes; Passeridae
Exons: 3
Source: RefSeq, a predicted model, not a curated record
CGGCGGGCCCGCGGCCUCGGCCCUGGCAGCGGCAGGAUUUGGGAUAUUAAAUUCCCAUGGAAUUCCUGAGCUUUUAGGAUUUCCCUGGAAAAUCCCAAAUUUCCCAUGGUCCAGCCCUCACCUCCACAAUUCCCAGGUGCCCGGUAGG